RNAcentral lists this ribosomal RNA (381 nucleotides) under uncultured bacterium. RNAcentral describes it as "bacterial SSU rRNA". It matches the Rfam family "Bacterial small subunit ribosomal RNA", at positions 335 to 710 of the family's 1533-position model. The record is from RNAcentral.
ACUCCUACGGGAGGCAGCAGUGGGGAAUAUUGCACAAUGGGGGAAACCCUGAUGCAGCCAUGCCGCGUGUGUGAAGAAGGCCUUCGGUUGUAAAGCACUUUCAGUAGGGAGGAAGGUAGUGUAGUUAACACCUGCAUUAUUUGUACGUUACCUACAGAAGAAGCACCGGCUAACUCCGUGCCAGCAGCCGCGGUAAUACGGAGGGUGCGAGCGUUAAUCGGAAUUACUGGGCGUAAAGCGCAUGCAGGCGGCCUGUUAAGUCAGAUGUGAAAGCCCGGGGCUUAACCUCGGAAUUGCAUUUGAAACUGGCAGGCUAGAGUCUUGUAGAGGGGUAGAAUUUCAGGUGUAGCGGUGAAAUGCGUAGAGAUCUGAAGGAAUACC